CCGGCGAGGGGAGUGAAAAAGAACCUGAAACCGUGUACGUACAAGCAGUGGGAGCACGCUUAGGCGUGUGACUGCGUACCUUUUGUAUAAUGGGUCAGCGACUUAUAUUCUGUAGCAAGGUUAACCGAAUAGGGGAGCCGAAGGGAAACCGAGUCUUAACUGGGCGUUAAGUUGCAGGGUAUAGACCCGAAACCCGGUGAUCUAGCCAUGGGCAGGUUGAAGGUUGGGUAACACUAACUGGAGGACCGAACCGACUAAUGUUGAAAAAUUAGCGGAUGACUUGUGGCUGGGGGUGAAAGGCCAAUCAAACCGGGAGAUAGCUGGUUCUCCCCGAAAGCUAUUUAGGUAGCGCCUCGUGAACUCAUCUCCGGGGGUAGAGCACUGUUUCGGCAAGGGGGUCAUCCCGACUUACCAACCCGAUGCAAACUGCGAAUACCGGAGAAUGUUAUCACGGGAGACACACGGCGGGUGCUAACGUCCGUCGUGAAGAGGGAAACAACCCAGACCGCCAGCUAAGGUCCCAAAGUCAUGGUUAAGUGGGAAACGAUGUGGGAAGGCCCAGACAGCCAGGAUGUUGGCUUAGAAGCAGCCAUCAUUUAAAGAAAGCGUAAUAGCUCACUGGUCGAGUCGGCCUGCGCGGAAGAUGUAACGGGGCUAAACCAUGCACCGAAGCUGCGGCAGCGACGCUUAUGCGUUGUUGGGUAGGGGAGCGUUCUGUAAGCCUGUGAAGGUGUGCUGUGAGGCAUGCUGGAGGU
Molecule: ribosomal RNA, 755 nt
Filed under: Escherichia coli
Lineage: Bacteria; Pseudomonadati; Pseudomonadota; Gammaproteobacteria; Enterobacterales; Enterobacteriaceae
Description: partial 23S ribosomal RNA
Rfam family: Bacterial large subunit ribosomal RNA
Source: RNAcentral